Long non-coding RNA from Hirundo rustica (Barn swallow), 1741 nucleotides. RefSeq lists it as uncharacterized. The record is from RefSeq and is a predicted model, not a curated record. NCBI's taxonomy places the organism in Eukaryota, Metazoa, Chordata, Aves, Passeriformes, Hirundinidae. The transcript is spliced from 3 exons.
AGUGAUGAGAGCCCCGUGUGCUUCCUGAGUGCUCUUCCCAUCAAAUCUCAACAGAACAAAUCUUUUCAGCAGCUCUGAAUAAUAAGAAAUGGGUUUGCAAUUUUCCUCGAAGGUUUUGGGGCUGAAAAGUUUCUUUCUGAGGAGGAAGGGGUGAUACUCCCGGGCACCCAGCAAUCUCCAGGCGUUGGGAAGAAGGAGGAUGUUCUCUUCUGUCUCCCAGCUGUCCAACCACGGACUGUAAAUAUUUCGUGGUGUUGUUAAACCAGCAGCCAAGCUGAUGGGGCAGCUGGCCCGCUGCUGUGUGAUCUGCUGGUUCACACACAUCCAUCCCCCAGCCCAGGGAUAUUUCAUGGAGACUUCCGUCCAAUGCUCAGGGAUUACUAAUCCAAGACACGGAGCCCCACCAACUACAAGUGUGCUGAAUUCGGAUUUCCAAACUGAGGAAAAACAGCUUUAGACACCUAAAAAGAGCCCCUAGAUUUUCAGAAAUUAUUUUUUGGGUAUUGAUAAAUUACAAAGAAGAUUUUGGCAGUGAGCAGGAGUUCAUUUUCCCCAGGAUCAUAUCCUGUGUCACAGGGAGAGUGCACAGCUGGGAGAGCUCAGUCUGAUUUGUCAGAGCAAGUGAAGCAGCUCGGGAAGCGUCGUGGCAGUGGCAGGGAUAUUACAGCAAUUAGAAGGAGCCACAAACAGCUCCCUACGUCUGAAGCUGCUCACUGAAGCUGACAGGCCGCCUCUGCUGCUCCCCGAGCCCCAGACACAAAGCGGCCCCUUUCCCUUUCCAAAACGCCGCUUCCGUCCUUCCAUCAUUCCCAGCAAGGCUCCCGCGCUGGGAUCGUGCUCCGGCAGACUGAAAGGGACCUUUCUCCUCCCCGGGAACCUCCCGCGGGCAGAGGCAGCACUGCUGGAGGGUGUCAGAGUGUGGAAUUCAGAGACACGUCCUGGAGCCGCUGUCCUGGCUCUGCUCCAGCUGUCAGCGGGGAUGGAGAGGUGGAACAGCGUGUGGCAGCCUCUGCUCCCGGCUCCUUUGAGGCGAGGGACGAGGGUCCCAAGCACAGAGGGUGCUCCCAGCCCAGCCCUGGCAGCCUAGUAAUUCCAGGAAACCCAGAUAUGCCAGAGAGUUUGGCUUCAGGAAUUUCAGCCCACUGGAAUCCCCAAAUGAAGAUGCUUUAUCCCGAGUUCAUUACCACGCUCCCCAGCCCUCUGCUGGAAGCCACAUCCUUUGGCAAUCUGCCUUUGGUCACUGGACACAUUCCUUAGGACGCUGUUUUGCCCUCUGCCAUCUCUGUGCUCCUGACCUUGAUCCUUGGCUGAACUGCAGCGCAGCACAAUCAGCCCUUGAUCCCCACAGGGCAUCGCUCGGCUCCGGCGGGACAGAAAAGGACAGAAAAGCCUUCUGCACUCUGAGAGACAAAAUCCUUCAGCAAGGCAGCUCCCAGUGCAGCCUGAAAUCUGGAGAUCCCACUUUGCUGCUGCCACGGCCACAGGGGAGAGAGAUGUCACUUGGGGCAGAAAUCACAAUGAAGUCACUUCUUCAAAUCACAGCUGUAGUGGAGACCAGGCGCAAAAUGAGACAUUUCAUUCUGCCGCCAUAUAAAUCUGAAGUUUCUCUGCACCCCACUCAAAUGGGUGAAAAAGCCCUCCUGAGUCCCUGUGACUGAAGGGUCCGAGGCUGGUUUCCUCAGUGAUCCAUCCAGCACAGACCGAGUUUCCCUCUCUGGGAAGCUGUGGUAAAAAAUCCCUU